GAGAUUAGAGUUUGAUCAUGGCUCAGGACGAACGCUGGCGGCGUGCUUAACACAUGCAAGUCGAACGAGGGCCCGGAGCUUGCUCUGGUGACCCGAGUGGCGGACGGGUGAGUAACACGUGACCAACCUACCUUCGGGAGGGGGACAACCUGGGGAAACCUGGGCUAAUACCGCAUAUCGUCCACGGGCCGCAUGACCUGUGGAUGAAAGGGAGCCUCUGCUUGCACGCUCUCACCCGAAGAGGGGGUCGCGGCGUAUCAGCUUGUUGGUGGGGUAACGGCCUACCAAGGCAACGACGCGUAGCGGGUCUGAGAGGACGACCCGUCACAUUGGGACUGAGAUACGGCCCAGACUCCUACGGGAGGCAGCAGUGGGGAAUAUUGCGCAAUGGCCGAAAGGUUGACGCAGCGACGCCGCGUGUGGGAGGACGCCCUUCGGGGUGUAAACCACUGUCAGGGGGGAAGAACUUCGUAGGUGUGAAUAGCGCCUGCGGUUGACGGUACCCCCAGAGGAAGCGCCGGCUAACUCCGUGCCAGCAGCCGCGGUAAGACGGAGGGCGCAAGCGUUGUUCGGAAUUACUGGGCGUAAAGGGCAGGUAGGUGGUCUGUUAAGUCUUCUGUGAAAAUCCGGGGCUCAACCCCGCGAAAUGCAGGUGAAACUGGCAGACUUGAGACCGGUAGAGGCUAGCGGAAUUCCUGGUGUAGCGGUGGAAUGCGUAGAUAUCAGGAAGAACACCUGUGGCGAAAGCGGCUAGCUGGGCCGGUUCUGACACUGAACUGCGAAAGCGUGGGGAGCAAACAGGAUUAGAUACCCUGAUAGUCCACGCCGUAAACGAUGGGCACUAGAUGCCGGGCAUAUAG
RNAcentral lists this ribosomal RNA (860 nucleotides) under uncultured bacterium. RNAcentral's name for it is "bacterial SSU rRNA". It matches the Rfam family "Bacterial small subunit ribosomal RNA", at positions 1 to 834 of the family's 1533-position model. The record is from RNAcentral.